Wyeomyia smithii (pitcher-plant mosquito) is the source of this 1229-nucleotide long non-coding RNA. RefSeq lists it as uncharacterized. The record is from RefSeq and is a predicted model, not a curated record. Lineage: Eukaryota; Metazoa; Arthropoda; Insecta; Diptera; Culicidae. The transcript has 4 exons.
UUAUAAAUUAUAGUCAUUUUUUGAAGAAUUUCGAGAAAAAUUUCGGGAACCUCGAAAUUUCGCGAAACUUCGCACAGCCUUAGUAGCUACACCGCAAAAACGAAAACGUUAUCAAGUUCAUGUUACCGAGUGUAUUCUACACCACACAGUUCCCAUAAUGGUCCCCAGAUGUUUACAUGUGUCCAAAUGUGUCAUUCGCAGAUUCGGUCGUGGACAAUUUGUUGAAAGUGAACGUUUCCAUUAAUGUUCGGUAUCGGAUUUCUCAAUACAAACCGUGCGGAAAUACGAUGAAGCAGUCAUCUUACGCUGCAUAGAGUUGGCUUAGUAACGAGUCGACAAUAGACGCUCGAAAAGGGCCGCAGACUGUGCUUAGCGAGGAGGAGAAGCGUAAACUCGUCCAAUAUUUGGCUGCGAUGCAUAAGAAGGUUUUCCGGUAACGAAACAGUUACUGCUGCUUAGAGUAAAGACUCUUCGAAACUAAUUUACGACUCAAUCCGUUUAAAAACAAUGUUUCAGCUGUAGGUCGAAAAGGGUUGAAGGGUUCGUCGAUACUCUGUACCUUUCACAAACCGGAAGCCAGUGCAAAGGUCAGCGAGCGUGAUAUUCGUGAAUAUUUCGCGGCCCUAUGGUCCCACCUGAAGGAUAACAAUUUCAGGGCAGCAGCGUUGGUUUUAAGUCACAUUUUCAACGGCGAUGAAACAUCGUUCUUUCAACACACGCAGACAUAAGCCGUAGGGGAACUGUUCCAUUAUUCAUCUCAACCCAUAUAUUCAUCUCAUACAACAUGAAAACACAAUUGAAAACAGGAAAAAACAUAUAUUUUAUAACUAAACCAAUCUGCCAAUCCAUGGAAUGGAUUCUUCUUAGUUCACUUUUGAUUUCUCAUGAAGUAGAAUCCUCAAAAACUCACUUAAAAGCUCUAUCUGAUGUUAUAGUCGGGCAUCUGCAUUCGAAAACUGAUUUAAAACAAUCACCUACCUCAGAAAACAAAAUCCGCGCAACGUUCUAUACGCCUACAACGGGAUUCGUUCAGCAGCCAACCAAACUUUAUUAUAACUAGCGGACCACUUUUUAUUUUAAUCACUAAACAAAAUCACUCACUACACUAAGAAUACUUUAAUCUUUGAAAUGUUCACCUCAAAUUUUCAAAAACAAGCUUGAAUUAGCAAAAAUGUAUAAGAUGAAUUUCAACAGAUGAAUGGUACCUAUGUAUUUUCAUCUGUUUUCAC